GCUCGAGUGGCGAAAUCGGUAUACGCGCUGGACUCAAAAUUCAGUGGGAGUGAUCCCAUGACGGUUCAAAUCCGUUCUCGAGUACCA
Molecule: transfer RNA, 87 nt
Filed under: Erysipelothrix sp.
Lineage: Bacteria; Bacillati; Bacillota; Erysipelotrichia; Erysipelotrichales; Erysipelotrichaceae
Description: tRNA-Leu
Rfam family: tRNA
About the family: Transfer RNA (tRNA) molecules are approximately 80 nucleotides in length. Their secondary structure includes four short double-helical elements and three loops (D, anti-codon, and T loops). Further hydrogen bonds mediate the characteristic L-shaped molecular structure. tRNAs have two regions of fundamental functional importance: the anti-codon, which is responsible for specific mRNA codon recognition, and the 3' end, to which the tRNAs corresponding amino acid is attached (by aminoacyl-tRNA synthetases). tRNAs cope with the degeneracy of the genetic code in two manners: having more than one tRNA (with a specific anti-codon) for a particular amino acid; and 'wobble' base-pairing, i.e. permitting non-standard base-pairing at the 3rd anti-codon position.
Source: RNAcentral